CCUACGGGGGGCAGCAGUGGGGAAUAUUGCGCAAUGGGCGAAAGCCUGACGCAGCGACGCCGCGUGAGGGAUGAAGGUCUUCGGAUCGUAAACCUCUGUCAGCAGGGAAGAACGGUAACUGUGCUAAUCAGCAGUGAAUUGACGGUACCUGCAAAGGAAGCACCGGCUAACUCCGUGUCAGCAGCCGCGGUAAUACGGAGGGUGCGAGCGUUAAUCGGAAUUACUGGGCGUAAAGCGCUCGUAGGAGGUAUGUCAAGUCAAGGGUGAAAGCCCCGCGCUCAACGUUGAAACUGCCUUUGAAACUGGCAAACUGGAGAGUGUGAGAGGAUAGUGGAAUUCCAGGUGUAGGAGUGAAAUCCGUAGAUAUCUGGAGGAACAUCAGUGGCGAAGGCGACUAUCUGGCACAUAACUGACGCUGAGGAGCGAAAGCGUGGGUAGCAAACAGGAUUAGAUACCCGAGUAGUC
Molecule: ribosomal RNA, 465 nt
Filed under: uncultured bacterium
Lineage: Bacteria
Description: partial 16S ribosomal RNA
Rfam family: Bacterial small subunit ribosomal RNA
Source: RNAcentral